Molecule: ribosomal RNA, 468 nt
Filed under: uncultured bacterium
Lineage: Bacteria
Description: partial 16S ribosomal RNA
Rfam family: Bacterial small subunit ribosomal RNA
Source: RNAcentral
GACGAACGCUGGCGGCGUGCUUAACACAUGCAAGUCGAACGGAAAGGCCCUGCUUUUGUGGGGUGCUCGAGUGGCGAACGGGUGAGUAACACGUGAGUAACCUGCCCUUGACUUUGGGAUAACUUCAGGAAACUGGGGCUAAUACCGGAUAGGAGCUCCUGCUGCAUGGUGGGGGGUGGAAAGUUUCGGCGGUUGGGGAUGGACUCGCGGCUUAUCAGCUUGCUGGUGGGGUAGUGGCUUACCAAGUCUUUGACGGGUAGCCGGCCUGAGAGGGUGACCGGCCACAUUGGGACUGAGAUACGGCCCAGACUCCUACGGGAGGCAGCAGUGGGGAGUAUUGCACAAUGGGCGGAAGCCUGAUGCAGAAACGCCGCGUGCGGGAUGACGGCCUUCGGGUUGUAAACCGCUUUCGCCUGUGACGAAGCGUGAGUGACGGUAAUGGGUAAAGAAGCACCGGCUAACUACGUG